GUAAUUUUCUUUUUCUUGCUCUUUAGGUUUGUGAUUGUUUAUCAUAACAAUAUUCAGGAAUUUUACUCAUCUGCAGAAGGGUUAUUGAAGCAAUUUGUGAGAAGAAUCAACUGUUGCAGAGUCCUCCCUAACAGGCCGUCUCCCUGGAAAUCAGCAGGCGUUUCCCUGGAAAUCAGCAGGCGUCUCCCUGGAAAUCAGCAGGCCUCUCCCUGGAAAUCAGCAGGCCUCUCCCUGGAAAUCAGCAUGCCAUCUACCUGGAAAUCAGCAGGCCAUCUCCCUGGUCAGCCAUCUUGGACCUCCUGCCUCUCAUCCUUCUUUACAACAGCUUAUCUGCUUAGUUUGAUGACUAUUUUUAUUUCUCUGUCACAAGAUGCUGUUAAAUAUUAGUAGUCAUUUGCAUGUAAGAUGUACUUACCUACAAUAAUAAAGUGAAAUUCAAUUUAUGAAGUACUGACA
Molecule: long non-coding RNA, 456 nt
Filed under: Oryctolagus cuniculus (rabbit)
Lineage: Eukaryota; Metazoa; Chordata; Mammalia; Lagomorpha; Leporidae
Description: lncRNA (ENSOCUG00000033742.1)
Source: RNAcentral